This 443-nucleotide ribosomal RNA is filed under the name uncultured bacterium. RNAcentral's name for it is "partial 16S ribosomal RNA". It matches the Rfam family "Bacterial small subunit ribosomal RNA", at positions 338 to 795 of the family's 1533-position model. The record is from RNAcentral.
CCUACGGGCGGCAGCAGUGAGGAAUAUUGGUCAAUGGCCGGAAGGCUGAACCAGCCAAGCCGCGUGAAGGACGAAGGUGCCAAGCAUUGUAAACUUCUUUUAUAAGCGAGAAAUAUGAUGGUAACUUAUGAAUAAGGAUCGGCUAACUACGUGCCAGCAGCCGCGGUCAUACGUAGGAUCCGAGCAUUAUCCGGAGUGACUGGGUGUAAAGAGUUGCGUAGGUGGCAUAGUAAGUAGCUAGUGAAAUCUGGUGGCUCAACCAUUCAGACUAUUAGCUAAACUGCUAAGCUCGAGACCGUUAGGGGUAACUGGAAUGUCUAGUGUAGGAGUGAAAUCCGUAGAUAUUAGAAGGAACACCGAUAGCGUAGGCAGGUUACUGGGACGGUUCUGACACUAAGGCACGAAAGCGUAGGGAGCAAACGGGAUUAGAUACCCGAGUAGUC